CACCGUAGUUUACUACACCGUAUUCUGUGAGUUGCGAACGGGUGAGUAACGCGUAGGUAACCUGCCUGGUAGCGGGGGAUAACUAUUGGAAACGAUAGCUAAUACCGCAUAAGAACAUUUACUGCAUGGUAGAUGUUUAAAAGGUGCAAAAGCAUCACUACCAGAUGGACCUGCGUUGUAUUAGCUAGUUGGUGAGGUAACGGCUCACCAAGGCAACGAUACAUAGCCGACCUGAGAGGGUGAUCGGCCACACUGGGACUGAGACACGGCCCAGACUCCUACGGGAGGCAGCAGUAGGGAAUCUUCGGCAAUGGGGGGAACCCUGACCGAGCAACGCCGCGUGAGUGAAGAAGGUUUUCGGAUCGUAAAGCUCUGUUGUUAAGGAAGAACGUGUGUGAGAGUGGAAAGUUCACACAGUGACGGUACUUAACCAGAAAGGGACGGCUAACUACGUGCCAGCAGCCGCGGUAAUACGUAGGUCCCGAGCGUUGUCCGGAUUUAUUGGGCGUAAAGCGAGCGCAGGCGGUUAGAUAAGUCUGAAGUGAAAGGCAGUGGCUCAACCAUUGUAGGCUUUGGAAACUGUUUAACUUGAGUGCAGAAGGGGAGAGUGGAAUUCCAUGUGUAGCGGUGAAAUGCGUAGAUAUAUGGAGGAACACCGGUGGCGAAAGCGGCUCUCUGGUCUGUAACUGACGCUGAGGCUCGAAAGCGUGGGGAGCGAACAGGAUUAGAUACCCUGGUAGUCCACGCCGUAAACGAUGAGUGCUAGGUGUUAGGUCCUUUCCGGGACUUAGUGCCGCAGUCUAACGCAUUAAGCACUC
This 818-nucleotide ribosomal RNA is filed under the name uncultured Streptococcaceae bacterium. RNAcentral describes it as "bacterial SSU rRNA". It matches the Rfam family "Bacterial small subunit ribosomal RNA", at positions 65 to 869 of the family's 1533-position model. The record is from RNAcentral. Lineage: Bacteria; Bacillati; Bacillota; Bacilli; Lactobacillales; Streptococcaceae.